AGCGGCAGGCUUAACACAUGCAAGUCGAGGGGUAACAGGGAUUGCUUGCAAUCCGCUGACGACCGGCGCGACGGGUGCGUAACGCGUAUGCAACCUACCUUCUACAGGGGGAUAGUCAAUAGAAAUGUUGAAUAAUACCCCAUACGAUCAUUAAUCUGCAUGGAUUGAUGAAGAAAGUUCCGGCGGUAGAAGAUGGGCAUGCGUCCUAUUAGUUAGUUGGUAAGGUAACGGCUUACCAAGACAUCGAUAGGUAGGGGUCCUGAGAGGGAGAUCCCCCACACUGGUACUGAGACACGGACCAGACUCCUACGGGAGGCAGCAGUGAGGAAUAUUGGACAAUGGAGGCAACUCUGAUCCAGCCAUGCCGCGUGCAGGAAGACUGCCCUAUGGGUUGUAAACUGCUUUUAUACAGGAAGAAUAGUACCUACGUGUAGGUAUUUGACGGUACUGUACGAAUAAGGAUCGGCUAACUCCGUG
Molecule: ribosomal RNA, 477 nt
Filed under: uncultured bacterium
Lineage: Bacteria
Description: bacterial SSU rRNA
Rfam family: Bacterial small subunit ribosomal RNA
Source: RNAcentral